Molecule: ribosomal RNA, 172 nt
Filed under: Sargocentron rubrum (redcoat)
Lineage: Eukaryota; Metazoa; Chordata; Actinopteri; Holocentriformes; Holocentridae
Description: partial 12S rRNA
Source: RNAcentral
CACCGCGGUUAUACGAGAGGUCCAAGUUGAUGAUAUACCGGCGUAAAGAGUGGUUAGGGGAAACAAAAUAAACUAAAGCCAAACACCUUCAGAACUGUUAUACGUACCCGAAGGCAUGAAGAACCACCACGAAAGUGGCUUUACCAACCCUGAACCCACGAAAGCUAUGAAA